Molecule: long non-coding RNA, 365 nt
Organism: Ceratina calcarata
Lineage: Eukaryota; Metazoa; Arthropoda; Insecta; Hymenoptera; Apidae
Exons: 5
Source: RefSeq, a predicted model, not a curated record
CAUAGAAAAGAAAUCGAAAGAUAAUCGCUAGGAGCAUAUGCAGAGGAUUCAGUUAUGGGAAGGAGCAAUUAUGAAUCAAGACCUGAGCAUAUGCAGAGGAUUCAGUUAUGGGAAGGAGCAAUAAUGAAUCAAGACCUGAGCAUAUGCAGAGGAUUCGGUGUCGGCAAGGAGCAAUAAUGAAUUAACACCUAGGCAUAUGCGGACGAUCCGCCGUCGGGAAGGAGGUACAAUAAAUCAUCACGUGCGCGGUGCCUGAGUUGGCCGAAGUUAAUGGACUAUCGAAGGCGGAGAGAUUGAUUCGUCAUUGAUUAAAUUGUGUUUCGGUGUUUGUAAGAGGACUGAUUAAACUUUUAUAUUUUCACAAA